RNAcentral lists this ribosomal RNA (484 nucleotides) under uncultured bacterium. Its description in RNAcentral is "partial 16S ribosomal RNA". It matches the Rfam family "Bacterial small subunit ribosomal RNA", at positions 30 to 507 of the family's 1533-position model. The record is from RNAcentral.
AUUGAACGCUAGCGGAAUGCUUUACACAUGCAAGUCGAACGGCAGCACGGGGGCAACCCUGGUGGCGAGUGGCGAACGGGUGAGUAAUACAUCGGAACGUGCCCGGUCGUGGGGGAUAACGUAGCGAAAGUUACGCUAAUACCGCAUACGAUCUGAGGAUGAAAGCGGGGGACCUUCGGGCCUCGCGCGAUCGGAGCGGCCGAUGUCAGAUUAGGUAGUUGGUGGGGUAAAGGCCUACCAAGCCGACGAUCUGUAGCUGGUCUGAGAGGACGACCAGCCACACUGGGACUGAGACACGGCCCAGACUCCUACGGGAGGCAGCAGUGGGGAAUUUUGGACAAUGGGCGCAAGCCUGAUCCAGCCAUUCCGCGUGCAGGACGAAGGCCUUCGGGUUGUAAACUGCUUUUGUAUGGAACGAAAAGGCUCUGGCUAAUACCUGGGGCUCAUGACGGUACCGUAAGAAUAAGCACCGGCUAACUACGUG